This 72-nucleotide transfer RNA is filed under the name Ictidomys tridecemlineatus (thirteen-lined ground squirrel). RNAcentral describes it as "Spermophilus tridecemlineatus (thirteen-lined ground squirrel) tRNA". It matches the Rfam family "tRNA". From Rfam's summary of the family: Transfer RNA (tRNA) molecules are approximately 80 nucleotides in length. The record is from Rfam by way of RNAcentral. Lineage: Eukaryota; Metazoa; Chordata; Mammalia; Rodentia; Sciuridae. RNAcentral also lists the same sequence under 1 other name.
GGGGUUGUGGCUCAGCAGUAGAGUGCUUGCCUAGCACGUGUGAGGCCCUGGGUUUGAUCCUCAGCACCACCC